Molecule: long non-coding RNA, 3162 nt
Organism: Cygnus olor (mute swan)
Lineage: Eukaryota; Metazoa; Chordata; Aves; Anseriformes; Anatidae
Exons: 2
Source: RefSeq, a predicted model, not a curated record
CCUAGCAAGAAGAACUUGAAAGGACAAGCUACUACAAGAUACUCAUCAUAUUGUCUGCUCUACUGUGGGAGGACUGUCAGAUGAAGCAAUAGUAAUCAUAGUACAAGAACUUGAUUAGAAGUCAUGAGUGCUUAACUACCGGGCUACCAAUUCUGUUAUCUUCCUAGGCAGAGACAUUCCAAUUAGCCAUGGUCAAACUGAAGAUGAGAUGAUUCAAAGCCAGUGUUUGCCCACAAUGGUUUGCUAAAGUGAAAAUAAGAAAGGCUGUCAGUCUUUUGGUACACAGCGCCAUUUGAUCAACCACUGAGGUCAAGGGGAAAUCUUCAUGCACUUUUAUCCGACUUGUGUAAAGGGGUUUUCAACUUCAUCUGUGGUAGGCAGGCUUGGAGACAGGCUGUUAUGACAAAGCUGUCAUUUCUGCUCCAGUGCAGUAGUGAUUUUAUCUUUAUAUAGUUUCUAUCAUUUUCAGAUAUGAGAUCUAUGCAAGCAAUGUUUUCACAGAGGCUUUUUGAGCUUCUGUGUUGUAAUCGACCAUUUUGUGCUAUUAGUUGGCAGGAUCCACCUUUGAUUCCAGGUCACGCUGGCCUCUUCUGUACCAGUCAACUAGCUGGUAGAGCAAAGAGGAAUAUGCUGCGUAUCUGUCAUUGUUGCUGGAUAUUUGUGCAGUAGCCACCUGUGAGAACAUGACCGAGUGUCACAGCCUCAUUGUGUAGCACACUCCAGAGGAGCAGCAAAUGAGCCAUUUGUGUCCAGAGAGUUCAUGAGGCUACCGACGUGAGUAUGCCUGCAACCCGUGUGAGGUGGCACUUGCUGGCUGCACCAGUGAAGUUUUCCUACUGCCAGCUUUGACAUAAAACGUUUCCUCAGACCUUUUGGUUUACCCAAAUCAGCUGACGCCUGACAUUUGAGCUGAUGUGUUUUGUCUCACAGUUGGAGUGGGCUGAGGAAAUGGGGAACGUUGGUUGGUUUAGGUGGGAAACGUGACAGGUACUAAUUAGUUAAAUCACUGUACCUCAAUUGCAUUUAAUUAUAUGAUCAUACCUGUAGGCCAUGUGUCAAGGAAGAAAAAGUGGAUAGAACAGACAAAAGAAAGGAAGAUAGGGUGGGAGGAUAAGAUUUCACUGUGUAAUGAACCAGGCUUAGGGCAAAAGGAAACAAAGCCACAACGCUAUGGACUCCCCUCACAUAGUUGUUCUGUUUGGCUUAGCAGCAUUAUGGGGCUUUUCACUGAUGAUCCUUCUUGCUCAGCUCUUUAAUUUAAGAAAGGAGAAUAUUAUUCCUCUAAAGACCUGACUUUGGCAUUAGGGUGUUGCUUUUAUUAGCAAAUUGUCUUUGCUGGUUCCAUUUUUAUUUUUUAAGUAACAAAAAGGACAAAACAAGGAAAAAAAGGUGAAACCCAAUUUUUGCAGAAGAGAGGAUGCUCCUAUAAUAAAUUCUGCCAGAGCUUCAGCAGCUUCUAGCAAGCCUUUAGCCACCGCAGAGCUUUAUUAGUAACUACAACCCAAGUGUUGUGGCAUUUGGAAAGCCGCAGAGCCUUGGUUACAUCAAAGAAAUUGUCAUUUACAUGCCUGGGCACUCCUCUGACAUUGACAGCCGGUUACUUUGCAAUCCUUUAAAAUGAUUCUGGGAUUCCCUGUUCCUUUUGUAAAGAGCAUACGUGGUAAAUUGGUUUCUGUAGGGGAAAAGGGCUUCGGCCACCUCGGUGUGUCCCAGGAGCGGUUCACAGGGCAUUGCUUGAAAACGCAGAGCAGGACCCAAACUGAGUGCAAAGCUUAGGCACUCAUAAUAAUUGUCGUAAUUGGCACCUCAAGUGUGACGGCGACCAGCUCUGUCCCCACGCCGCGCUGCCGAGUGCCACAAGGGCAGCGAUGUCCGUGGAUGUAGGCCUCACGGGAUUCCUGCUCAUCCCACAGCCCCUGAGGGGCUGAGCUCACCAAAAAGAUGCUGGCAGUUUGAGUCAGUGUGUCUCUUCUGUGUCUCUUCUCGAUGCUAUUGAUGCACUUCGCGUCUUGGCUCUUGUCUUGGCAGAGAACUCAGGAGGGCCGGAGGGGCAGGGGCAGGGCCUGUUUUUGUUUUACAUAUGAAAGGCACUAGGAAUGGGGUUUUUGGAUGCUCAGAUAUGAUACUUUGGGAGCUGCUGAAACUGGAGGGCAAACUUCACAGAAAGUGAACUGUUUGUGCUCGUGAUUUUGAUCAAGCCCAGGACCUGCUUCUACAACACGAGAUUGCCUGGGAACCACCAGGCCCCUCUUGUUCCUGCCCCUCGCCUGAGCCAGGCUGUCCCAGCAGCGGUGUGAAGCCCAGCAAAUAGUCAGAAAUACGUUGCCUGCUCAAUAGGAGCUUCUGCUUUCAUAGCCUCUGGCCCACAGUCCAUGUGGGUGUGAUAAGCUCUGUCAGUCUCGGCUGGUUUCUCGGUCUCUAGUUAAAUGCAUUUUUAUGAACUGGUGAAUUGUUUGUAGGAAUUAUUUCACUGUAAUGUGUUUCAGUGUCUGGCGCACACAAAUCCUGCCAAUUUUUCAUUGUCCACAGGCAGCCCUUUUUCCCUUCUGUGGGGAAUUGAUUUUGAGAGAAGAAUAUACCUGCUGUGAUGCCUGAAUUCUCCACAAGCAAUCUUGCCUCUGAGUGCCAGCCACCCCAAUGCUAUUUAGCUCGCUGGAAGUGCUGAAAUUACAGCCCGAGGUGGCAUGGCUGCUGCAGUAGUAUCAACCAAGUGGGAAUAAAAUCGUCAGUGACAAGGGACGAGAUGACCUCCACUAAUCCAAACCUUUUACCCACAUGUUUCUGCUUUCCAUAAAAGUACAAAUCUCACUUGUCUGUCAUUUAAUAAGAUUACAAGGCAAGACCAUGCAAUUCUAACUGUUUGCUUCUGAAAUGAAAUCCAUCCCUUGUGAAUGGGGAGAGCCAGAGCUAGCUAUGUGUAAGAUCAGAGUAUGUCAAAGCACAUCCUGAAUUCUGUCUUGGGUUUUCUUUCAUUCAAGUGUUCAACGAGUGAGCUUGUUCUGGCUUUCUGCAAAAAGCGAGUGUUGCUCCCGGUGCUCCCCAAGACCGAUAAAUCUUUCUCAUUUCCCUACAAAAGACAAGGAGCAGCAAGCUAACCAAAUCCUGUGCUGUCAGUGAAGCUGUGAUAGAUUUUCUCUAGCUUCAAUAAAUGAACCUAACUUU